This 2799-nucleotide ribosomal RNA is filed under the name Triticum aestivum (bread wheat). RNAcentral's name for it is "partial small subunit ribosomal RNA". The record is from RNAcentral. Lineage: Eukaryota; Viridiplantae; Streptophyta; Magnoliopsida; Poales; Poaceae.
AUGGAGGCUGUGGCCGCGGCCGCGGCCACCUCAUUCGUGGAGUGGAUGGUGCCGAAGCUCUUUGAUUUCUUACAUGCAAAUCAUGAGCUUCGGAAGAACCUAAAGAAUGACAUUAUCUACAUCAAGCAUGAGUUUGCUAUGAUUUCUGCUGUCAUCAAGGAUGAUGAUAGCCGUGGUGGCUGCCGCAGCAGCAGUGAACAAGUGCAUACGGAGUGGAUCAAUAUUGUGCGUGAAUUGGCGCACGCCAUAGAAGACUGCAUCGACCGCUUCAUGCACAGUGUGACCAUGGCUGACUCGGAAAAAGGGAGGCUCAGCCGGGCUCUCCACCGGGUGAAGACGGCGAAGACCCGUGGCAAGUUUGCUGCGGAGAUCCGGACGCUGAAGAAUAGAUCAGAAGAUGCUUCCAAGCUGAGAGAAAAAUACUGCAACAACAGCAGCAGCAGUUCCUCACCAAGGUGGUCGUUGUCGUCUGAGCAGACAGACGCGCCGACAGCGGUUCAGGAUGAUGACGAUGACACCCAUUCAUCAGCUUCCAUCGCCGUUCCUGUGGGUAUCGACGGUCCCCGUGGCGAGCUUAUGGAUCUGAUCCAGCAGGAGCAACAGCUUAAGGUGAUUACCAUUGUGGGUUUCCAUGGCAUGGGCAAGACUCUCCUUGCCAAUCAUCUGUACAACUCCAAGGCAAUUGAGAGCCAAUAUGAAGUACGGGCUUGGGUCCAAGGGGGGAGGAGGACAGCAGCGGAUGUUCUCAAGGAGAUACUCAAGCAGCUUGGCCACCUUCCCCUGCCAACCAAUGGCAGUCUCACUCUCACCUUGCUUCACGCGAGCAUCAGAGAGUGCAUUGGCAACAAGAGGUUCUUUAUUGUAAUUGAUGACCUGCGGACAACAGCAUAUUGGCACAACAUGAAAGCAGCCUUUGUCGGUUUAAAUGGCAGAUUUCUGGUGACGACGGUCAUUCAGCCCGUAGCAAAUAUCUGUCGCAGCUCAUCUGUUAAUGAUCAUGUAUACACAAUGGCAACUCUUACCGACCAAGACUCAAGAAUAUUGUUCUUCAAGGAAGCUUUCCAAGACGAUGAACAGCCGCAGCAUGUGGAUGACCUCGGCUAUGCAGCGCUCAAGAAAUGUGAUGGUCUUCCCCUUGCUCUUGUUACCACCGCCAGGUUCUUGAAAAGCGCAGGUAAUCCAACACCCAUGAUAUGGGCAAAACUAUGCGCCAACCUGGGUACACAUAUGGAGAGUGAUGAUCUAUUUGCAAGAAUGAGGCGUGUGCUUGUCCAGAGCUACACCAGCCUUGAUAGCCAGGUCGCCAGGACAUUCUUGCUCUAUUUGAGUACCUACCCAAGUGGUCGUCCUAUCAAGAAAUCGAGCUUGUUAAGGAGAUGGUUAGCAGAAGGCUUGUCCCCAGGAGACAAUACAUAUAGUGAUGUUGAUGCCGCCAUUAGCAAUUUCAAUAAGCUUGUUGAUUGGAGCAUCAUCCAGCCAAUGGAAGCCAGCGGCAACAACACAGAGGUGAAGACAUGUCAUACCCAUGGCAUGAUGCUGGAGUUCGUCCUGCGCAAGUCCAUGUCCGACAACUUCGUUACCGUGUUGUAUGAUGGGCAGUCUACCUCUCGCCUACCCAAUAAUAUCCGCCGGCUUGCUCUGCAUCAUGCAAGGCCAAGAGAAGUGCCAGGUUUAACUCUUGUUCGGUCACUGACAAUCUUGGGAGAGGCGCACCCAUCUGUCCUGGACUUCUCCAAGUAUGAACUGCUGCGAGUUUUGGAUCUGGAAAAGUGCGUUGUACCCUUGGAGGAUGGCCAUCUCAAGUUGAUAUGCAGAAAACUGUUGCUGCUGAGGUACCUAUGCCUCGGGGCUGCAGUUAUUGCCACGGUGCUUCCCAAGGAGAUCAGGAAGCUUCAAUUAUUGGAUACACUGGAUGUAAGUAAAACAAAGAUAGAGAUUCUGCCAACGCAAGUCAUGGAGCUGCCACGUCUUGUUCAUCUCUUUGGGAAGUUCAAGCUCAAGAAAGAUCUAGGAGACUGGAGAAUGAGUAAGCUACAGAGUUGGUUGUUAGAGAAUAGCAAAUUGGAAACACUGGCAGGAUUUGUUGUGGACAACAGCAAGAGCCAAGAUUUUGCACAGCUCAUGGAUAAUAUGAAGGCUUUGACAAAGGUGAAAAUAUGGUGCGAGGCUACCGCCGACACCAGCAGCUCAAGUCAUCUCUCAAAGGCCAUCAAAGGGAUCAUUGAGAGAAGCACCCUGUUCAUAGGGACCCCUUCACUAUCACUCAAUUUUGAAGGUGAGUUGACCCAAGACAUGCUGAAUUUCUCUCUGGAGAAAGGAAAACAUUCAUGCUCCCUCAAGCUGCAAGGAAGCAAGAUAUGCAGCCUGCCCCCCUUUGUUGCCUUGCUGGGUCGUCUCACUAAGCUAGGUCUUUCAUCCCCUCAGCUGAGCCUGAGCCAAGACUUCCUUGCUGCCCUGAGCAAAGUGCCCGGCCUGGCGUACCUGAAGCUGGUUGCAACUAGACUGGACAAGCUUGUCAUCAUAAAAGGUAUGCUGAAGAGCCUGGGACGCCUAUCCAUUGUGGUCGACUCCAUGAUGGAUCAGCUGGAAAUCAAAGAGGGAGCUCUACCAUGCCUCAAGUCACUGCAGCUGCUAUGCAAAGAUCUGUCUGGCUCUAUUUCCGGCACGUCAGCGGUCCAGUCCCUUGGACAUCUUAAGGAGAUUGUUCUCCAUCGUGAAGUGGGAGAUGAAACAAAAAAUGAGUGGAAAGAAGCAGCAAAGAACCUCCCAAGUCCACGUCCCAAGAUCUUGUUUCUCUAG